RNAcentral lists this transfer RNA (62 nucleotides) under Neolucanus maximus. Its description in RNAcentral is "tRNA-Ile". The record is from RNAcentral. Lineage: Eukaryota; Metazoa; Arthropoda; Insecta; Coleoptera; Lucanidae.
AAUGGAAUGCCUGACAAAAGGGUUAUUUUGAUAGAAUAAAUUAUGUGAAACCACUUCCAUUA